UUGAAGACAUGACAUCGGUGAAUUGGAUCACUUAUUGCAAACUUGAAACGUAUGGUGUCGCCUUCAUUGAAAUUAUUCAAUGCGCAGAAUUUGUGCCAGUAGUUAUCAAUUUGGGUCUUGAUUGGAUUUGUUUUUGUUGCAACAAACGAAAAAGGAUAAGUGGUGUCAUCAUCUCCACAAAGUAAUAAAUUAGGAAAUCGAUUGGAAGUAACGUAAUCUGCA
RNAcentral lists this long non-coding RNA (222 nucleotides) under Trifolium pratense (red clover). Its description in RNAcentral is "long non-coding RNA (TPRA_LNC002531)". Lineage: Eukaryota; Viridiplantae; Streptophyta; Magnoliopsida; Fabales; Fabaceae. The record is from RNAcentral.